Lonchura striata (white-rumped munia) is the source of this 268-nucleotide non-coding RNA. Lineage: Eukaryota; Metazoa; Chordata; Aves; Passeriformes; Estrildidae. The record is from RefSeq and is a predicted model, not a curated record.
CUUCUUGCACAUUACAGGCCUGUUUUUGUGACUGAUGGAUGCUCAGAGCCCACGGAGGCUUUACCUUUACAUGGGAACUGACUCUUCUCUGCAUCUCAGCUGUUUCAUGCUCGCAUGAUUCUAACGAGGUCAGAGUGGCUCCUAUCCUGUUGUGUGCCAGACAAGAUGAAAUGUAAGAAAAUCCUUCAGUCUGCAAUGCUAUGCUAUAUGCUGACUACUUCUUUGAAGAGUCUGUGGUCCCAGUUUGAUGCUGCUGUCUUUCCCCUGG